Pezoporus flaviventris is the source of this 1481-nucleotide long non-coding RNA. RefSeq lists it as uncharacterized. Lineage: Eukaryota; Metazoa; Chordata; Aves; Psittaciformes; Psittacidae. The transcript has 7 exons. The record is from RefSeq and is a predicted model, not a curated record.
GACUGCUGACCACCUCUGCCUCCAGCCACAUCCCUCCAGCCUACCUCAAGACUGAGAACCUUUGUUUUGUGAGAAAAUGUCAAAAUCCAGGCAGCCUUGAGAAUCCUGGAGGGGGAGAGGAUCAGGCUUGGUGGCAAAUUUUCCCAGGCAGAAGGAAGACUUUCCUAUCUGAGCUCCAGAUCUGGGAAAUGGCCAUUCAGUAACACAGAGCCUGAGGGUCUUGCCAUCAAUACAUAUUGAUCACUUAACAAAGCCAGUCUUUGAGCUAUGAAAGGCCUUUGAUUAAAAUUUCACUUGGCAGCCUCGUGGAUUAGACAUCUUCAUGAACACUGGAACCCCCUGAUAUGAAAAAGGAAAGGAAAUGAGGAGGCAGUAACCUAAGGUAAAACUCCAUACCACAUAGGGAGAUAGCUGAUAUUACAAAUAAAUGCUACUGUGGAUGAGUCAGCUGCUGAGGAGGGGAGCACUGUUCAAGUAACUGUCUGUGGAAAGAAAGAAAAACUCUUUUGAGAUUCACCAGAAAGGAAGAAAGCAGCACUUUAUUUAGCUGUAAAGCAGCAGUUGUGAUCAGAGGUGACAGAGGAAGGUUUUCUUGAUGCAAGUGAUCCAUUCUGGCACUUGGAGGCUGCUAAGAAUAUCUAGAAGAUAACUCCUCUGUCCCCUCUGAGAAUAUUGCUGUCUGAUGCAACAUUGCAGGCUCCAGGAUGGGAAGAUGAGAACCACUGCACCCUUAACCCUCUUCUACCAAAGCAUGUGAUAGCUGUCAGGUAUAAAGAAACCACAAUGGAAGCACAACAUGGAAGAGGGUUAUUUGGGUUUUACUGACAAUUCCUGCUUGCUUUCUUCCCCUGAGGAAUGUGUGGUCCCAGAUUUGACUCCCAGCUCUGAGCCAAGUGCAGCAGAUUCCUUUGAAGUCCUCCUGAAGCAGGAUUCUUAAUGCCCAAGGGAAAAGCUUCUCCUCUCUCCAUUUGCAAGAACACAGUUCCCUCCCAGUGAAACCUAAUGAUCACCUCCAACCUGUUCAUCUGGCCUGCAGUUUGGGCACAUGCUCAGAUCUGAAGUAGACAUCAAGUAUUUGGAAGUCCCAGUCAAACACAACUCUAAGUACUUUGCUGUACGAAGACAGCUUAGGCAUAUACAGAAAGCAAACUUUAGCAAAGCCUGGGGUGACUCCAUGCUACUGCAUUAAAAAUAGGAACACUUUUGUUUCAAACAUGUCUGUAGCUGCUUCUAACCCAGGGAAAGAACUGUGUUAUCUAUCAUUCAUAGAGCUCUUAACCUUUAGGAGCAGCACACGUUGUGCACUAUGUAUAUUUAUCCAUUAAAAAAGCCUGUAGGUUCAUUUUUCCUCUCUGACAUGAAAAAUGUGGAUGGAAGCACUAAAGGCUUAGAGUGUCUCUGUGAUUUGCUUGCAAAAGUAAACACGAGCCAAUACUGUAACCAGAUCACAUACUUGCAGUGGAACAAAGUGACUGAUUUCA